AGUGAACGCUGGCGGCGUGCUUAACACAUGCAAGUCGAACGAGAACGGAUUAUAGCUUGCUAUAAUUGUCAGCUAAGUGGCGCACGGGUGAGUAAUGUAUAGGUAAUAUGCCUCUUACUAAGGGAUAACAAAUGGAAACGUUUGCUAAUACCUUAUACUCCUUAUUAACAUAAGUUAAUAUGGGAAAGAUUUAUUGGUAAGAGAUUAGCCUGUAUUGUAUCAGUUAGUUGGUGGGGUAAUGGCUUACCAAGACUAUGACACAUAACUGGUUUGAGAGGAUGAUCAGUCACACUGGAACUGAGACACGGUCCAGACUCCUACGGGAGGCAGCAGUGGGGAAUAUUGCACAAUGGACGAAAGUCUGAUGCAGCAACGCCGCGUGGAGGAUGACACAUUUCGGUGCGUAAACUCCUUUUAUAUGAGAAGAUAAUGACGGUAUUAUAUGAAUAAGCACCGGCUAACUCCGUGCCAGCAGCCGCGGUAA
Molecule: ribosomal RNA, 484 nt
Filed under: uncultured bacterium
Lineage: Bacteria
Description: partial 16S ribosomal RNA
Rfam family: Bacterial small subunit ribosomal RNA
Source: RNAcentral